RNAcentral lists this ribosomal RNA (20 nucleotides) under Camarosporidiella mackenziei. RNAcentral's name for it is "partial 28S ribosomal RNA". The record is from RNAcentral. RNAcentral also lists the same sequence under 1 other name. Lineage: Eukaryota; Fungi; Ascomycota; Dothideomycetes; Pleosporales.
UUGCUCUGACCUCGGAUCAG